RNAcentral lists this ribosomal RNA (96 nucleotides) under Escherichia coli. The record is from RNAcentral. RNAcentral also lists the same sequence under 4 other names. Lineage: Bacteria; Pseudomonadati; Pseudomonadota; Gammaproteobacteria; Enterobacterales; Enterobacteriaceae.
GGUCCCACCUGACCCCAUGCCGAACUCAGAAGUGAAACGCCGUAGCGCCGAUGGUAGUGUGGGGUUUCCCCAUGCGAGAGUAGGGAACUGCCAGGC